Long non-coding RNA from Monodelphis domestica (gray short-tailed opossum), 654 nucleotides. NCBI's taxonomy places the organism in Eukaryota, Metazoa, Chordata, Mammalia, Didelphimorphia, Didelphidae. The record is from Ensembl.
CAUAACUUGGGAUGUUUUAAAAACCCCGGUGCGCAAGUCCAAGUUUCUCCAGACUGGCACUACAGCAAAAGUUCCCCAAUGCCCCGCAGCUGACUUCACAGGUCGGAGAUGACCCGGUUGGAAUCCCUUCCGGCCUUGUAUCUGCUAAGUACAACUCUCAGUAGCCUAACAGGUAACCGCACAUUGUCAAUGGAGGUGUCCUCUCUGAUCGGGAUCCUGGGAGGUUCUGUUCUGAUAUGUCCAAACUCAGAAAUAGGAAAUGACACCUUGAGGAUUAGCUGGUAUCAUCAUUCACCUGAGGAGAAUCUGCACCUACUCACCAGCAGGCCAGGGGAGAGCAGUCCAAGCUGGAUCAUUCCCCAGAAAGAAUAUGUGGGGAGGUUGUUUAUUCCUGAUGGAAAGUCUCUGGAGAUCCUGAAUCUGACCCUGGAAGACUGUGGGCUUUAUGUGGCUGAAAUCAUAUCUGUCUCAGGAGAGAUCCAGACUAAAAAGUUCAAUUUAACCAUCUCUGGCCCUGAUACUGCAGAGUCUAACAAGGAUCCAUGGAUUUGGAGGGGUCCCCUGCUUGUUGUUAUAGUCCUGAUAAUGUUGGGGUUGAUCACAGUUUUUUACUAUAAAAAAAGAGGCUGCUAUUACAAAAAUCAAGAUAUUUGA